RNAcentral lists this long non-coding RNA (197 nucleotides) under Junco hyemalis (dark-eyed junco). RNAcentral describes it as "lncRNA (ENSJHYG00000002587.1)". The record is from RNAcentral. Lineage: Eukaryota; Metazoa; Chordata; Aves; Passeriformes; Passerellidae.
AAUGAGGGCAAGGACCUUGUUCCACCAGCAGGCAAAAAAGCAUGGCAGCCCUUCCUGGAAGGAUUCCUGCUGGUGUGGGGUUGAUUGAAGAAGAGGAUUCACCUGAGCUGGGAGUAGCCAGAAGGCUCCUGGCCCCUUUACAAAUACAGGAGGUAACUGAUCAGCAGUGCUCCAGCUACAUGAAAUGGAAGUGUUAA